Molecule: long non-coding RNA, 281 nt
Filed under: Cucumis sativus (cucumber)
Lineage: Eukaryota; Viridiplantae; Streptophyta; Magnoliopsida; Cucurbitales; Cucurbitaceae
Description: long non-coding RNA (CSAT_LNC000963)
Source: RNAcentral
CUACGCUAUGAUGCAACAAGGAAAUGAAGUGAUAAACUUACCACGAAUCCACAAGGUCUCUUACCACGAAUCCACAAGGUCUUCACUGGAUUUGGUUAGAACGCACUAUUAACAAACAUAGUAGCUAGAAUGCCUAGAAUAUGUUGCCUUGAACAUAGAGAGGUGUCAAAUAUAAACCCUCUAAACCCCUUGUAUUAGCUUAUAUUUCUUCUUAAUAAUAAAUGUUCUCAUCUAUUUAUAGAAGCACUUAUAUUUCUUUUUAAUAAUAAAUGUUCUCAUCU